Molecule: long non-coding RNA, 797 nt
Organism: Lycium barbarum (goji berry)
Lineage: Eukaryota; Viridiplantae; Streptophyta; Magnoliopsida; Solanales; Solanaceae
Exons: 3
Source: RefSeq, a predicted model, not a curated record
GGAUGAGUCAUGGAAAAGGGAGGUUUGCACAUGGAAUAUUUGGACCAAGUCAUUAAAGUCUUACAAAUGGGAUGAUUAAUGAAGAGGCAACUAUUUGUUUUUAAACCUUUUAGUGGGUAUACUUCCCAAGUCCAGGAAGAUAUAUGGCAACGUAGAAUCACCAAUUCAAAGGGUAAAAAAAAAAAAAAAUUAUGUUGAAUUAGUGAGCUGCUGCAAGCUCAACGCAGACCUUUAAGUGUCAUACAGGGACGUUCUUGUUUGGUGAAGGCAACCCAGCAUCGGGACCUUCAUGGUAGACAGCAAAUUUAGUUCCAUUUACGAGAACAAAGUAUAUUUAUCCGUGAAAGCAACAUACGGGUUUUGCACAUCGCUUCGAUCUCGUUGUUCCGUUUUUGCCAUGAUGUUGAAUUCGGGCCUUCUUCGAAGUGAAGUAAGGUGGAAGAAAAAUAGUUCUUGGCAUAUAAGAUUGGGAAGCCCGGGAUCUAAUUUGUGGUUAGCUUGGAGCAGAUAAGGUGCUAGCAAACCAUGCAAGGAUAUGUAGGCGAGUCCCUUGAAGACUCUGAUCCAGGAAUGUGAUGUUAGUAUAGGGCAAAAAUGUAACUUAGGCUUGCGGAAUGUGACAAAUAGGCUUCGCUACCUAGAAAAGGAUUUUCUCGUACAUUCUACCAAGUGUUUGCUUCUCAAGGAGUGUAUUAGUUGUGGGCAAAUUGCAAUUUGGUUUUCCACAUUCAAAUUUUAAUUUUCUAGUUUGAUAGGAAUUGAUUAGUACUUAAUAAUGUUUUCGCUGGACCUGGUAA